RNAcentral lists this unclassified non-coding RNA (405 nucleotides) under soil metagenome. RNAcentral's name for it is "partial contains 5.8S ribosomal RNA, internal transcribed spacer 2, and large subunit ribosomal RNA". The stretch from base 1 to 121 matches the Rfam family "5.8S ribosomal RNA", at positions 35 to 154 of the family's 154-position model. The record is from RNAcentral.
GAUGAAGAACGCAGCGAAAUGCGAUAAGUAAUGUGAAUUGCAGAAUUCAGUGAAUCAUCGAAUCUUUGAACGCACCUUGCGCCCUUUGGCCAUUCCGAAGGGCAUGCCUGUUUGAGUAUCAUGAACACCUCAACUCUUUAUGGUUUUCCAUGAUGAGCUUGGACUCUGGGGGUUUUGCUGGCUCACAGUCGGCUCCUCUGAAAUGAAUCAGCUUACCAGUGUUUAGUGGGUAUCAUAGGUGUGAUAACUAUCUACGCUUGUGGUUUUUCCACCAGGUAACCUUCAGCAGUGGAGGUUCGCUGGAGCUCAUAGAUGUCUCUCCUCAGUGAGGACAGCCCUUUGAAUGUUUGAUCUCAAAUCAGGUAGGACUACCCGCUGAACUUAAGCAUAUCAAUAAGCGGAGGA